AUUGAACGCUGGCGGCAUGCUUUACACAUGCAAGUCGAACGGCAGCGCGGGCUUCGGCCUGGCGGCGAGUGGCGAACGGGUGAGUAAUGCAUCGGAACGUGCCCAGUAGUGGGGGAUAGCCCGGCGAAAGCCGGAUUAAUACCGCAUACGACCUGCGGGUGAAAGCGGGGGACCGAAAGGCCUCGCGCUAUUGGAGCGGCCGAUGUCGGAUUAGCUAGUUGGUGGGGUAAAGGCUUACCAAGGCGACGAUCCGUAGCUGGUCUGAGAGGACGACCAGCCACACUGGGACUGAGACACGGCCCAGACGCCUACGGGAGGCAGCAGUGGGGAAUUUUGGACAAUGGGGGCAACCCUGAUCCAGCCAUGCCGCGUGCGGGAAGAAGGCCUUCGGGUUGUAAACCGCUUUUGUUCGGGAAGAAAUCCUCUGGGCUAAUACCCCGGGGGGAUGACGGUACCGGAAGAAUAAGCACCGGCUAACUACGUG
This 484-nucleotide ribosomal RNA is filed under the name uncultured bacterium. RNAcentral describes it as "partial 16S ribosomal RNA". It matches the Rfam family "Bacterial small subunit ribosomal RNA", at positions 28 to 507 of the family's 1533-position model. The record is from RNAcentral.